Molecule: unclassified non-coding RNA, 329 nt
Filed under: soil metagenome
Description: partial contains 5.8S ribosomal RNA, internal transcribed spacer 2, and large subunit ribosomal RNA
Rfam family: 5.8S ribosomal RNA (bases 1-120)
Source: RNAcentral
GAUGAAGAACGUAGUGAAAUGCGAUAAGUAAUGUGAAUUGCAGAAUUCAGUGAAUCAUCGAAUCUUUGAACGCACAUUGCGCCCCCUGGUAUUCCGGGGGGCAUGCCUGUCAGAGCGUCAUUACAACCCUCAAGCUCAGCUUGGUGUUGGGCCCCGCCGCCCCGGCGGGCCCUAAAGUCAGUGGCGGUGCCGUCCGGCUCCGAGCGUAGUAAUUCUUCUCGCUCUGGAGGUCCGGUCGUUUGCUCGCCAGCAACCCCCAAUUUUUUUCAGGUUGACCUCGGAUCAGGUAGGGAUACCCGCUGAACUUAAGCAUAUCAAUAAGCGGAGGA